GUGGAAUUUCUUGGACAAUAAGGAUGUUGGCUUAGAAGCAGCCAUUCAUUUAAAGAGUGCGUAACAGCUCACUUAUCAAGAGAUUCUGCGCGGAAAAUGUAACGGGGCUUAAGCAUAUUACCGAAGCUGCGGGCGUGAAUAUGGGACCAAGUCUGUGGUCCUUAUCGCAACCUGCUCUAAAAAGGGAAAAAGAGCAACCCGAGCAAAAAUCGCAUUUUUUGCCCGGCGCGAUGAGAAAAAACCAUAGGUUUUGUCUCAUAUUUGCGCGGUAGAGGAGCGUUGAUAUCGCAUCGAAGUCAGACUGUAAGGUCUGGUGGAGCGUUAUCAAGUGAGAAUGCUGGAAUGAGUAACCAUAAGGGCAGUGAGAAUCUGCCCCACCGAAAGAGCGAGGUUUCCUGGGCCAUGGUAAUCAACCCAGGGUUAGUCGGUCCUAAGCCGAGGCGAAUAGCGUAGGCGAUGGCCAACGGGUUAAUAUUCCCGUACCGGCGACGUAUUGUUUUUGGAUGCGCGGUCAUGGUAGCAGAAGCGGAAUCAUGGUUUAUCCGUCUAACUGGUCUAACGGGCCAGGAACGAAAGGCCACAUUAGUGGCUGAUUUCUGCCAGAGUGCCGACAAGAAAAGUCCAGAAACUUAUGUACGUAGCCGACCGUACCGCAAACCGACACAGGUGCUCAAGGUCGAGUAGACCAAGGUGUACGAGUGAUUCUUCGUCAAGGAACUCGGCAAUAGAAGCGGCCGUAACUUCGGGAUAAGGCCUGGCUCGCCACAGUGUGCGCAACUAGAGGAUCAGACCUCUGCUCACUGUUUAAACGCCCUUUUGGGGCUAAGUAAACAAGUGUGCUUUGUGCUUACUGUGGCGAGCCCGCAGCUAAGGAACCCAUGGAACUGUUUACCAAAAACACAGGUCUCUGCUAACACGAAAGUGGAUGUAUAGGGGCUGACUCCUGCCCGGUGCUGGAAGGUUAAGGGGAUAAGUAUUACGCUUUGAACUGAAGCCCCAGUGAACGGCGGCGGUAACUAUAACCGUCCUAAGGUAGCGAAAUUCCUUGUCAGGUAAGUUCUGACCCGCACGAAUGGAGUAAUCAUAUGGGUACUGUCUCGACGAAGAGCUCGGUGAAAGUGCAUUGACGGUAAAGAUGCCGUCUGUCCGCAGCAGGACGGAAAGACCCCGUGGAGCUUUACUACAGCUUGGCAUUGAGCCGAGCGUAUACAUGUGUAGGAUAGGUGGGAGGCUUUGAAGCUGGCGCGCUAGCGCCGGUGGAGCCGCCGGUGAAAUACCACCCUUGUAUACGCCAGGUUCUUACCUGGACCGAUUAAUGUUCAUGACCUUUGCAGCUGUUCUUUAAGGAAAAAGAGCAGCCCGACAAAAUGUAUUCCAUUUUGCCGGCGCGAUGAGAAAAAACCAUUUGGUUUUGUCUCAUGGGCAUUAACCGGUUCGGGGACAGUGUCUGGUGGGUAGUUUAACUGGGGCGGUUGCCUCCCAAAGAGUAGCGGAGGCGUUCAAAGGUUGGCUUACUACGGAUGGAAAUCGUAGUGAAAGUGCAUACGCAAAAGCCAGCUUGACUGUGAGGCCUACAAGCCGAGCAGGCACGAAAGUGGGAGUAAGUGAUCCGCUGUUUAUGCAUCCUUUCGGGGAUGUAUGAGAGUGGUAUCGACAGCGCAAACGGAUAAAAGUUACCCCGGGGAUAACAGGCUUAUAGCGCCCAAUAGUUCACAUAGACGGCGCUGUUUGGCACCUCGAUGUCGGCUCAUCUCAUCCUGGGGCUGGAGCAGGUCCCAAGGGUCCGGCUGUUCGCCGGUUAAAGAGGUACGUGAGCUGGGUUCAGAACGUCGUGAGACAGUUCGGUUUAUAUCCGCUGUGGACGUCAGGAAAUUUGAGAGGAUUUGUCCCUAGUACGAGAGGACCGGGACGAACGCACCGCUGGUGUACCAGUUGUCAGACCACUGGCAUGGCUGGGUAGCUAUAGUGCGGAACAGAUAAGCGCUGAAAGCAUAUUAAGCGCGAAACUGACCUCAAGAUUAGAUUUCCCUAGAGACCCCUGGAAGACUACCAGGUUGAUAGGCACUAGGUAUAAGCGUGGCAACACGUUCAGCCGAGGUGUACUAAUCGGUCCAUUGACUUUUUACG
RNAcentral lists this ribosomal RNA (2127 nucleotides) under Candidatus Omnitrophota bacterium. RNAcentral's name for it is "partial 23S ribosomal RNA". It matches the Rfam family "Bacterial large subunit ribosomal RNA", at positions 1075 to 2925 of the family's 2925-position model. Lineage: Bacteria; Pseudomonadati; Candidatus Omnitrophota. The record is from RNAcentral.